Coregonus clupeaformis (lake whitefish) is the source of this 266-nucleotide long non-coding RNA. RefSeq lists it as uncharacterized. The transcript has 3 exons. The record is from RefSeq and is a predicted model, not a curated record. Lineage: Eukaryota; Metazoa; Chordata; Actinopteri; Salmoniformes; Salmonidae.
ACGAGGACUGUAACAGAGCGAAUCAUUACUGUUAACCAGACAAGGACUACUGAAAUACGUUUAUUUAAAAGUUUUAUGUAAUCUGCAAAUGGGGACCGAAAUCCCAUGAAAAAUAUUAAGACGUCCAUCAAAGAGGACCAAUAGUAGUUCAGCCUGAAUGGAAAACCCAAACAGGGGCAGGAGAUGGAGAGGUAGAGGAGCCAACCAUGUCGAUCACAGAAUAGGUGCUGAGGCUGGUCAGAGAGAAGAGGAAGGGAUAGCCAACC